Non-coding RNA from Massarina eburnea CBS 473.64, 92 nucleotides. The record is from the annotation of a GenBank genome assembly. Lineage: Eukaryota; Fungi; Ascomycota; Dothideomycetes; Pleosporales; Massarinaceae.
GGCUCGGUGGUGUAGUUGGUUAUCACGUCAGUCUAACACUUCUUCUGGGGUUAGGUCACUGAAGGUCCCGAGUUCAAACCUCGGCUGAGUCA